CAGCAACUCCUGUGGAAGGUCCAGCAGCCCAGGUGUGGUCCCUCAACUCCCUCCCACCAGCCCCGACCUGAAGCUGCCGAAGGAGUGAAGAGUACCGCAGACACCAUAAUUGCAGACUGAACAUUGGCUCUUCUUGGGUCUCAAGACUGCCAGCUUUUGAAUUGGAACAUUAACCAUCAAUUCUGGUGCUCAGGCUUUUGGACUCACCCUGGGACUACACAUCAGUUCUCCUGGGUCUCCAGUUUGCUGACUAUACUCAACUUCUCAGCUUCCAUAAUUAUGUUGAGAUUUGACUGUUCUAGAAAACAACAGCUUGUCCUGUGGAGAAUUCUGAGUACAUGCGGAUGGAAAAUCAGAGGCUAAAUACCAAAAGAAAAAGGAGCUAUUUUCCUGUGAGACAGAAAGCAGUGGUGAAGAGGGUGGAGCUGGAGGAACAAUAGCUGGACCAAAGGGCAAGACUUACAAUCCACCAGGAAGAUGUAGCCAUCAUAGGAUUUAUGUGCUGAGAAACAUAGCUAAAAAUUAUAUGAAGUCAAACUACUAGAAAUAUAAUUGAACAAAAUAAUAAAUUUAAAAAUUUCAGUAAACAACAUAGAAUUUUUUUCAAAAUACUCAUAGAAUAUGUUAGCUGAAAAAAAUCAAUACAAUGCAAGAAAAUGUAUAUGUGCUAUAAGAAUGGAAGACAAUAGACUAAAGUUUGAAAUUAAAAGCAAAAAUAGCCAAAAUGAAAAAAAUGUCUUGAAAAUAAAAAUACUUUUCCCAAUUAUUGGUGUUAAAGGUGAAAUCAAACUGAAAUUACAGAUUGUUUAGAAACAAAUUUCACUACAUAUCAAAUUGCAUAUUAAAAUUAUACUCAGAAGAAGUUUUAUAGCACUGUAUGCUUUUUUAAUUAAAAAACAUCUAAGUGGAAUUUGCACUCACCUCAGGAAUCUAGGAAAACAACAAAAUGAACCAAAUAAAAAAAUAAAGAAUUGAAACUAACAUAGUUUGUGGUCACUAUGGAAAAUAAAACCAGAUCUAAGUAGACUUGUUUUAUCUAUGGAACAAUACAGAGAACAAGCAAAAAUAAGUCAGUUACUUGCCCUAGGAAAUUUUUACUCUUCAAAGACAAGACUUUGAAAUAACUUUUUAAUCAAGACUAAUAGUUUUUAUCAAGACUACAAUAGCUUUAAUCAAGACUAAUUCAACAAUACUGAUUUCAAGACACUCAUUUCAUGGGGCCCAUCAAUCCAAAACUUUUAUUUUUUAAACUCUGUCAAAUCCUAACCAGUUUCCCUCCUGACUAGGCUCAUAUUAAAAUCAUUCAGUUCAGGCACUGAAACCUAAUGAAUAUCUUUCUCCCUUUAACUUUACCUCUCAGUCUUUACUGCAUAAGGUCUAAUAAACAGCU
Molecule: non-coding RNA, 1390 nt
Organism: Odocoileus virginianus texanus
Lineage: Eukaryota; Metazoa; Chordata; Mammalia; Artiodactyla; Cervidae
Source: RefSeq, a predicted model, not a curated record